GACGAACGCUGGCGGCGUGCUUAACACAUGCAAGUCGAACGGAAAGGCCCUGCUUUUGUGGGGUGCUCGAGUGGCGAACGGGUGAGUAACACGUGAGUAACCUGCCCUUGACUUUGGGAUAACUUCAGGAAACUGGGGCUAAUACCGGAUAGGAGCUCCUGCUGCAUGGUGGGGGUUGGAAAGUUUCGGCGGUUGGGGAUGGACUCGCGGCUUAUCAGCUUGUUGGUGGGGUAGUGGCUUACCAAGGCUUUGACGGGUAGCCGGCCUGAGAGGGUGACCGGCCCCAUUAGAACUGAGAUACGGCCCAGCCUCCUACGGGAGGCAGCAGUGGGGAAUAUUGCACAAUGGACGGAAGCCUGAUGCAGCAACGCCGCGUGCGGGAUAACGGCCUUCGGGUUGUAAACCGCUUUCGCCUGUGACGAAGCGUGAGUGACGGUAAUGGGUAAAGAAGCACCGGCUAACUACGUG
RNAcentral lists this ribosomal RNA (468 nucleotides) under uncultured bacterium. Its description in RNAcentral is "partial 16S ribosomal RNA". It matches the Rfam family "Bacterial small subunit ribosomal RNA", at positions 28 to 507 of the family's 1533-position model. The record is from RNAcentral.